Bombus impatiens (common eastern bumble bee) is the source of this 2084-nucleotide long non-coding RNA. RefSeq lists it as uncharacterized. The transcript is spliced from 3 exons. The record is from RefSeq and is a predicted model, not a curated record. NCBI's taxonomy places the organism in Eukaryota, Metazoa, Arthropoda, Insecta, Hymenoptera, Apidae.
CAAUGGUAGAGAAUCGAAGUCAACGAUAGUAAAAUUUUGAACGGUGAAAACGAUUGUGUUGAUCGACACGAAAAAAGGUACGAAAGGCAAAUCAUUCUGUUUUGAAAGCAAAGUCAAUCGCGCUUGGCAGCUAACCGGCUCGCGUGGGUGUUAAUUACUCUGUUAAAACCGACUCGCGUUAGUGGGUGUAUUACACGAGAUCGUGAACAUGAAACAUAGACGGAUAUGAGCGAGUAUCGGUUGGCUAACUUAUACUACGCGUAAGGUACGCUGAUAGAUACGGUUUUCGUGAUUUUUUCCCAAGUUGAUACGAAACCUCCCGCGUCUCUCGAUUCAACCUGUCGGCUAUAUACCGAGUAAUAUGUACAUAGUUUCAAGUGGCCGUCACCCGUGGUACAUGUUGCAAAACGGAAAUCUACAUCGAUUCGAUCGUAAAUCUUUCGCGAAUAUGAAAUCUCCGUACGUUCGUUUAUGGUUUGACGUGGAGAUCUACUGCUAUAUGUAACGUGACCUGCACACGCUACUGUGCGGUUAAUCAUGUAUUUGCAGAGUGCAAUAAAGAUUUGUUACACUGGCUUCGACGAAAUCGUACCACGAUCUGCAAAUAACAUCUUAAUUCAAACGAUCAGUACAGCGACAUAAAGAUAAACGAAAUUUCCGAUAAUAACAGACAACCGAAAAGAAAAACAGUCCGUCGAUAGAACAAUUAAUUAAAUCCACACGCUACCCAGGCUCUUGUUGAAGCGGACACUUAUUAACUGCAAACUACGCUCGUCGUAAAAUCUGCAUAAUAACACGGUAGAUUUAAAUGCCCCUUCGUUGAAGCGCGGUUUGCCUUCGAACUUGCAACAUUAACAGUGGCUUUAAACGACGACAGUUUGUCAACGAAAUUAGAAGCAGAGCACGAGACGAGAUAGCCUCCGGUGUGCAUCCUACCGUACGACCCAACCAACCUGCAGGCUAGCUACCGUACGGGGAUGAUUCACGGUCAAGGACGUCGUAGCAACCCCUCCAGCUUUUCUCUGGCGCAACCCUCGCCUUCAUCCACCAACGCCGGCACAGAUUCACGAGGACAAUAAUUCGACGGCACGGCGAGUCCAAAGACGGGUCCAUUCGCUCGAGGACACAGAAAUCGAGAGAGAAAUAGGCAGCACUUUACGCAAGCCAGUACUUUCCACAUAAUUCUCGUCGGAGAUCGACCAGGGACAACCGGAGGAUAAUAUAUCGUCAAAAGGGAUUGGUCGUAUGUUAACCAGCGUUACACCUGCGAGCCGAUGAAGAAACUCCAUGGCCAGCCACCUACGCGCGCAGCCUCGUCCGGGUCUUUUACCAUCUGACCGACGAAUUAGGUAGAUAAAGAUUCACACGGGCUUCGCUGUAUGCUUCUACCUGUUUCCCCGACUCGUUCUUCUGCUUGUUUCGUUUAUAACUUUAGAUAAACUGUUGUCAUCAUCGCUGUAUCAGAUUGCGUUUUGCAUUUUACCAAGUUGAUAUUUAGAAUUUUUUAUUACUGUAAAUGUAAAUGUUCGUGUAAAUAUCCAUGUAUUUGGUUAUUUAAUUAUAACUAUGUACCAUGUUUAUACAAAUGAAGACCACAGAGGAAGAACAUAAUAAACUAUAUUUUCCAUUCUUUAAAGGCUAACAGGUUUAAAAGUCAGUACGUUAUCAUAAUUGUUCUUGGUAUGUAAUUUUCAGAUUAAAUAUGUAUUCCAGCAUCCUCUUCGUAAUUUAACGAAUAUUGCUUGUCACAACGUGAAAACAUUGAAAGAUAUUGAAACAUUGAAAAUAUUAAAACACCAAAAAGUAUUGUUUAUCUAAACAAUUGUAUCCUUGAUCGAACAUAGCUUCUUUCCAGUUUUAACUAUUUUAUAUGAAAAUAUUCUUGUUUAGCCGUAAAGUGAUAUCAAAAUAAAAAGGUCAACAAAACUGUAUUUAUCAUGCUCUUUUCCUACGAUCUUCAAAUGUUUGCGAUCGAAUACGCGUAUUUAUAUUUAUAGAUACCGUGUAGGAAAUCGUUCGUGCAAACACCGUGCACCACCUCUAACCUAAAUUUCGUGGUGGGUUUUUCACCGGCUCCGCCUCAU